GGACGUGAGGGCAAUCUGGCUGCGACAUCUGUCACCCCAUUGAUUGCCAGGCUCAAUUCGGCCGAUCUGGCUGGCCAGGCAAGUGUCCCCUUCCUCCCUCACUGCUCCAUGUGCGUCCCUCCUGAAGCUCCAUGCUGGGUCAAAGAGAACGACCUUCCCCACUAGAGGAGGAACGGUCUUCCGUCAAGGGUAUACGAGUAGCUGCGCUCCCCUGCUAGAACCUCCAAACAAGCUCUCAAAGUUGCUUUCCUAAGUCGCUAGGAGUGAAUGACAUCGUCCAAGGCGGUCAAACUCAUCUCCUUUAUUCGAGUAGCUGAGAAUCUCAGUUGUUCAUCCUAU
This 339-nucleotide small nuclear RNA is filed under the name Microcebus murinus (gray mouse lemur). RNAcentral describes it as "7SK RNA (ENSMICG00000023941.3)". It matches the Rfam family "7SK RNA". Rfam says of the family: 7SK was discovered as an abundant small nuclear RNA in the mid-70s but a possible function has only recently been suggested. The record is from Rfam by way of RNAcentral. Lineage: Eukaryota; Metazoa; Chordata; Mammalia; Primates; Cheirogaleidae.